GACGAACGCUGGCGGCGUGCUUAACACAUGCAAGUCGAACGGAAAGGCCCUGCUUGCAGGGUACUCGAGUGGCGAACGGGUGAGUAACACGUGGGUGAUCUGCCCUGCACUUCGGGAUAAGCCUGGGAAACUGGGUCUAAUACCGGAUAGGAGCCAUUUUUAGUGUGAUGGUUGGAAAGUUUUUUCGGUGUAGGAUGAGCUCGCGGCCUAUCAGCUUGUUGGUGGGGUAAUGGCCUACCAAGGCGGCGACGGGUAGCCGGCCUGAGAGGGUGGACGGCCACAUUGGGACUUGGGUACGGCCCAGGCUCCUACGGGAGGCAGCAGUGGGGAAUAUUGCACCAUGGGCGGAAGCCUGAUGCAACGACGCCGCGGGGGGGAUGACGGGCUUCGGGUUGUAAACUCCUUUCGCUAGGGACGAAGCUUUUUGUGACGGUACCUAGAUAAGAAGCACCGGCUAACUACGUG
This 465-nucleotide ribosomal RNA is filed under the name uncultured bacterium. RNAcentral's name for it is "partial 16S ribosomal RNA". It matches the Rfam family "Bacterial small subunit ribosomal RNA", at positions 28 to 507 of the family's 1533-position model. The record is from RNAcentral.